GGGCCAUUAGCUCAGUUUGGUUAGAGUAUUACGACAACAGCGUUCGACUGAUAAUCGAAAGGUCGAGAGUUCAAAUCUCCCAUGGCCCA
This 89-nucleotide transfer RNA is filed under the name Nitrososphaerota archaeon. RNAcentral's name for it is "Thaumarchaeota archaeon tRNA-Ile". It matches the Rfam family "tRNA". Rfam says of the family: Transfer RNA (tRNA) molecules are approximately 80 nucleotides in length. Their secondary structure includes four short double-helical elements and three loops (D, anti-codon, and T loops). The record is from RNAcentral. Lineage: Archaea; Thermoproteati; Nitrososphaerota.